AACGCUAGCUACAGGCUUAACACAUGCAAGUCGUGGGGCAGCAUGGGAGAUGCUUGCAUUUCCCGAUGGCGACCGGCGCACGGGUGAGUAACGCGUAUCCAACCUGCCCUUCACUCCGGCACAGCCCGUCGAAAGACGGAUUAAUGCGGGAUGCAGUCAGAAAGAUGCAUAUUAAUUUGACGAAAGGCUUUAUGCCGGUGAGGGAUGGGGAUGCGUCCGAUUAGCUUGACGGCGGGGUAACGGCCCACCGUGGCAACGAUCGGUAGGGGUUCUGAGAGGAAGGUCCCCCACAUUGGAACUGAGACACGGUCCAAACUCCUACGGGAGGCAGCAGUGAGGAAUAUUGGUCAAUGGGCGGAAGCCUGAACCAGCCAAGUAGCGUGCAGGAAGACGGCCCUAUGGGUUGUAAACUGCUUUUGUGCGGGAAUAAAGCGGGUCACGUGUGACCCUUUGCAUGUACCGUACGAAUAAGCAUCGGCUAACUCCGUGCCAGCAGCCGCGGUAAUACGGAGGAUGCGAGCGUUAUCCGGAUUUAUUGGGUUUAAAGGGAGCGUAGAUGGGCUGUUAAGUCAGUUGUGAAAGUCAGCGGCUCAACCGUUGAACUGCAAUUGAAACUGGGAGCCUUGAGUGCGUUUGCGGUGGAUGGAAUUCGUGGUGUAGCGGUGAAAUGCUUAGAUAUCACGAAGAACUCCGAUUG
Molecule: ribosomal RNA, 697 nt
Filed under: uncultured bacterium
Lineage: Bacteria
Description: bacterial SSU rRNA
Rfam family: Bacterial small subunit ribosomal RNA
Source: RNAcentral